GUGCCAGCAGCCGCGGUAAUACGGAGGAUGCAAGCGUUAUCCGGAAUGAUUGGGCGUAAAGCGUCCGCAGGUGGCAGUUCAAGUCUGCAGUCAAAGGUCGGGGCUCAACCCCGGAAAGGCUGUGGAAACUGAACAGCUAGAGUACGGUAGGGGCAGAGGGAAUUCCCAGUGUAGCGGUGAAAUGCGUAGAGAUUGGGAAGAACACCGGUGGCGAAAGCGCUCUGCUAGGCCGAAACUGACACUGAGGGACGAAAGCUAGGGGAGCGAAAGGGAUUAGAUACCCCUGUAGUCCUAGCUGUAAACGAUGGAGACUAGGUGUGGCCUGUAUCGACCCGGGCCGUGCCGGAGCUAACGCGUUAAGUCUCCCGCCUGGGGAGUACGCACGCAAGUGUGAAACUCAAAGGAAUUGACGGGG
Molecule: ribosomal RNA, 415 nt
Filed under: uncultured prokaryote
Description: bacterial SSU rRNA
Rfam family: Bacterial small subunit ribosomal RNA
Source: RNAcentral